CGGGGUGAGUAACGCGUGGAUAACCUGCCUCACACUGGGGGAUAACAGUUAGAAAUGACUGCUAAUACCGCAUAAGCGCACAGUACCGCAUGGUACAGUGUGAAAAACUCCGGUGGUGUGAGAUGGAUCCGCGUCUGAUUAGCCAGUUGGCGGGGUAACGGCCCACCAAAGCGACGAUCAGUAGCCGACCUGAGAGGGUGACCGGCCGCAUUGGGACUGAGACACGGCCCAA
This 232-nucleotide ribosomal RNA is filed under the name uncultured bacterium. Its description in RNAcentral is "partial 16S ribosomal RNA". It matches the Rfam family "Bacterial small subunit ribosomal RNA", at positions 104 to 334 of the family's 1533-position model. The record is from RNAcentral.